GGGUGCGAUCAUACCAGCACUAAUGCACCGGAUCCCAUCAGAACUCCGCAGUUAAGUGUGCUUGGGCGAGAGUAGUACUAGGAUGGGUGACCUCCUGGGAAGUCCUCGUGUUGCAUCCC
RNAcentral lists this ribosomal RNA (119 nucleotides) under Arabis alpina (gray rockcress). Lineage: Eukaryota; Viridiplantae; Streptophyta; Magnoliopsida; Brassicales; Brassicaceae. The record is from RNAcentral.